GUUGUUGUAUUACAUACAUUAGGCAUUUUUUUGUUUGUUAUCAUAUAUGCUUGUUAAAAAUAAUUUAUCUAUAUUUAUAUGUAAAAUAUAAGAAAAUUAAUUUUGAAUCAAAUAGCAUUUAUUGUAGGAAAAUUAAAACAGUAGUUCCAUUAUUUUGGUAAAGUUAAAUAGUGCCUAAAUUAUUUCGUAAAAAUUAAACCAAGACAAAUUAUCUCCAUUAAAAUAAAACAGUACAUAUUCGACAAAAAAAAUAAAUAAUAAAACAGUAGAUACAUUAUUUUCUUAUAAGAUUAAACAAUAGGUAAAUUAUAUUGUAGGUACAUUAUGUUUGUAAUAUAAAAAAAAAUUGAAAUUCAUAAACAAAAAGUAGUAGAUAUUUUAUUUUUUUAAUCAAAUUUCCUUUAUUUGUAGGUGAAUUAUUUUCAUGUAUUAUUGUCACAACCCGUCCCGGAAAUGUACAUUAUUUUGUUAUCAUUGAUGUGAAAAUACUAAAAUGCCCUUGAGCGUUUGUGGCAUUGUGGGACUAUGUGUGGUUGAGGACCAAUGUAUUAAAUUCCUAUUAUUUUGAAACCAAUUGGAAGUAAGGAAAAUGGGUUGUUUUGAUUGGUGACCCAAAAAUCUGGACCACAUAUCCUGUCUCUCUCUCACUCUCCCAUGCUCUCUCUUCUCUCUCUCUCGGUUUCACUCUCUCUCCUUCGAAAUGGUACGGACAAGCACCCAAGACCCUUGAAACUUCACGGAUCGUGGCCAAAAUUAGUACCAUUGGGUUUGUGAGGACCAUACGAGUUCAAAGGUACCUAUUUCAGGUAAGAACCCGUUCAAUAUCACAUUAAAAAAUUCAAGCUCCGAGUUGAGCACUACUCACGAACUUUUAAAUGGUUAUGUUUUAGGACAAUCCAAGCUCAUAGCGAGCUUAGUGAGGUCCCAAGGAAGCUCGGAGUGCUUCGUUUGAAGGUUUUGGACGUCUGGAUCGUGUGGACGAAGUUUGGCCGAUUUUCUUGGAAUUCUCUGGUGAGAUCCUGUGACUUUUAGAGCUUUAAAUUAGUAUGAUCGUGUUCUACAAGUUAAGAGCUUCAUUUUGGUAUAAAUUGCAUGAAAAAUGGUGCAAAAACGAGUGAGAAAAAGGCAGUUGCAGGUCUACCCAGAAUCCGGCACCGGCGACACUAUUCCGACGUCUGGAGGUUUAAGAAGAUGCGCGUGUUGGGCAUGUGAGGCCGUGCCCUCCCCGGCGCGUGGGGGCGCGUGAGCCACCUAAAAAUUUAUCUAAAAAUAUCACGAUGUUCGUGAGGUUGUGUACGUUACUAUGGUAUAUUCAUAUACCCAUUUUGAGCAAUGUAUAAGAAUUUAUUAGCUAGUUUUGUAUAUGUGCUUUAAAAUAAUGUUUUUAUAGUUAAUUCGCAUAUAGGUGAGGCCUAUCCCGAGGACGAGCAUAUCCACGGGCGACUCGGGGGCUACGACCCUUCGACAUACCAGUGAGUGGGCUUUUGUUUUCAAUAUAUAUCUAUAUACUUGAUAUAUAUUUCCAGAAAUGCAUUUUUAGUAAAGUAUGCUUUGAAUUAAUAUGCCAAUUUCUUUUGUAUUCUGAAUAUGCAU
This 1593-nucleotide long non-coding RNA is filed under the name Malus domestica (apple). Its description in RNAcentral is "long non-coding RNA (MDOM_LNC011374)". The record is from RNAcentral. Lineage: Eukaryota; Viridiplantae; Streptophyta; Magnoliopsida; Rosales; Rosaceae.